This 233-nucleotide long non-coding RNA is filed under the name Elaeis guineensis (African oil palm). Its description in RNAcentral is "long non-coding RNA (EGUI_LNC006752)". The record is from RNAcentral. Lineage: Eukaryota; Viridiplantae; Streptophyta; Magnoliopsida; Arecales; Arecaceae.
CCCUCCAAAAUCCCCUGUGCCGACCAUAGCAAGACUGACUUUGAUUCCACUUUGCUUUUAGCCUAUGGCCAAAAAGAAAUUCUCCACAAUGAUAUCCCAAGGAAUGGAAUCCUGCUCCCAUCAUAAAUUUGAGCAAAAAAAAUGCUAGCAUUCCUAGUGCCUCCUGUUCUAAUUUCCAGUACAUUUCCAAUAGGCUCUUUAUAUUGGACUAGUGGAGCAAUCGCUAUAGUGAG